GGGUUGUGAGGUUAAGCGACUAAGCGUACACGGUGGAUGCCCUGGCAGUCAGAGGCGAUGAAGGACGUGCUAAUCUGCGAUAAGCGUCGGUAAGGUGAUAUGAACCGUUAUAACCGGCGAUUUCCGAAUGGGGAAACCCAGUGUGAUUCGUCACACUAUCAUUAACUGAAUCCAUAGGUUAAUGAGGCGAACCGGGGGAACUGAAACAUCUAAGUACCCCGAGGAAAAGAAAUCAACCGAGAUUCCCCCAGUAGCGGCGAGCGAACGGGGAGCAGCCCAGAGCCUGAAUCAGUGUGUGUGUUAGUGGAAGCGUCUGGAAAGGCGCGCGAUACAGGGUGACAGCCCCGUACACAAAAAUGCACAUAUUGUGAGCUCGAUGAGUAGGGCGGGACACGUGGUAUCCUGUCUGAAUAUGGGGGGACCAUCCUCCAAGGCUAAAUACUCCUGACUGACCGAUAGUGAACCAGUACCGUGAGGGAAAGGCGAAAAGAACCCCGGCGAGGGGAGUGAAAAAGAACCUGAAACCGUGUACGUACAAGCAGUGGGAGCACGCUUAGGCGUGUGACUGCGUACCUUUUGUAUAAUGGGUCAGCGACUUAUAUUCUGUAGCAAGGUUAACCGAAUAGGGGAGCCGAAGGGAAACCGAGUCUUAACUGGGCGUUAAGUUGCAGGGUAUAGACCCGAAACCCGGUGAUCUAGCCAUGGGCAGGUUGAAGGUUGGGUAACACUAACUGGAGGACCGAACCGACUAAUGUUGAAAAAUUAGCGGAUGACUUGUGGCUGGGGGUGAAAGGCCAAUCAAACCGGGAGAUAGCUGGUUCUCCCCGAAAGCUAUUUAGGUAGCGCCUCGUGAACUCAUCUCCGGGGGUAGAGCACUGUUUCGGCAAGGGGGUCAUCCCGACUUACCAACCCGAUGCAAACUGCGAAUACCGGAGAAUGUUAUCACGGGAGACACACGGCGGGUGCUAACGUCCGUCGUGAAGAGGGAAACAACCCAGACCGCCAGCUAAGGUCCCAAAGUCAUGGUUAAGUGGGAAACGAUGUGGGAAGGCCCAGACAGCCAGGAUGUUGGCUUAGAAGCAGCCAUCAUUUAAAGAAAGCGUAAUAGCUCACUGGUCGAGUCGGCCUGCGCGGAAGAUGUAACGGGGCUAAACCAUGCACCGAAGCUGCGGCAGCGACGCUUAUGCGUUGUUGGGUAGGGGAGCGUUCUGUAAGCCUGUGAAGGUGUGCUGUGAGGCAUGCUGGAGGUAUCAGAAGUGCGAAUGCUGACAUAAGUAACGAUAAAGCGGGUGAAAAGCCCGCUCGCCGGAAGACCAAGGGUUCCUGUCCAACGUUAAUCGGGGCAGGGUGAGUCGACCCCUAAGGCGAGGCCGAAAGGCGUAGUCGAUGGGAAACAGGUUAAUAUUCCUGUACUUGGUGUUACUGCGAAGGGGGGACGGAGAAGGCUAUGUUGGCCGGGCGACGGUUGUCCCGGUUUAAGCGUGUAGGCUGGUUUUCCAGGCAAAUCCGGAAAAUCAAGGCUGAGGCGUGAUGACGAGGCACUACGGUGCUGAAGCAACAAAUGCCCUGCUUCCAGGAAAAGCCUCUAAGCAUCAGGUAACAUCAAAUCGUACCCCAAACCGACACAGGUGGUCAGGUAGAGAAUACCAAGGCGCUUGAGAGAACUCGGGUGAAGGAACUAGGCAAAAUGGUGCCGUAACUUCGGGAGAAGGCACGCUGAUAUGUAGGUGAAGUCCCUUGCGGAUGGAGCUGAAAUCAGUCGAAGAUACCAGCUGGCUGCAACUGUUUAUUAAAAACACAGCACUGUGCAAACACGAAAGUGGACGUAUACGGUGUGACGCCUGCCCGGUGCCGGAAGGUUAAUUGAUGGGGUCAGCGCAAGCGAAGCUCUUGAUCGAAGCCCCGGUAAACGGCGGCCGUAACUAUAACGGUCCUAAGGUAGCGAAAUUCCUUGUCGGGUAAGUUCCGACCUGCACGAAUGGCGUAAUGAUGGCCAGGCUGUCUCCACCCGAGACUCAGUGAAAUUGAACUCGCUGUGAAGAUGCAGUGUACCCGCGGCAAGACGGAAAGACCCCGUGAACCUUUACUAUAGCUUGACACUGAACAUUGAGCCUUGAUGUGUAGGAUAGGUGGGAGGCUUUGAAGUGUGGACGCCAGUCUGCAUGGAGCCGACCUUGAAAUACCACCCUUUAAUGUUUGAUGUUCUAACGUUGACCCGUAAUCCGGGUUGCGGACAGUGUCUGGUGGGUAGUUUGACUGGGGCGGUCUCCUCCUAAAGAGUAACGGAGGAGCACGAAGGUUGGCUAAUCCUGGUCGGACAUCAGGAGGUUAGUGCAAUGGCAUAAGCCAGCUUGACUGCGAGCGUGACGGCGCGAGCAGGUGCGAAAGCAGGUCAUAGUGAUCCGGUGGUUCUGAAUGGAAGGGCCAUCGCUCAACGGAUAAAAGGUACUCCGGGGAUAACAGGCUGAUACCGCCCAAGAGUUCAUAUCGACGGCGGUGUUUGGCACCUCGAUGUCGGCUCAUCACAUCCUGGGGCUGAAGUAGGUCCCAAGGGUAUGGCUGUUCGCCAUUUAAAGUGGUACGCGAGCUGGGUUUAGAACGUCGUGAGACAGUUCGGUCCCUAUCUGCCGUGGGCGCUGGAGAACUGAGGGGGGCUGCUCCUAGUACGAGAGGACCGGAGUGGACGCAUCACUGGUGUUCGGGUUGUCAUGCCAAUGGCACUGCCCGGUAGCUAAAUGCGGAAGAGAUAAGUGCUGAAAGCAUCUAAGCACGAAACUUGCC
This 2781-nucleotide ribosomal RNA is filed under the name Escherichia coli. Its description in RNAcentral is "partial 23S ribosomal RNA". It matches the Rfam family "Bacterial large subunit ribosomal RNA". Lineage: Bacteria; Pseudomonadati; Pseudomonadota; Gammaproteobacteria; Enterobacterales; Enterobacteriaceae. The record is from RNAcentral.